AGAAGUUUAUUUCAAAAAAACAUGAAAAUGGAUUGAACAUUCUGAAAAAAAUGUAUUGUUUUUCAUAUAAAAAGGUUUUCCAAAAAAGGGGUUCUCUGGAAUUAUUCUUCAACUAUCAAAUCGAAUGGGAAUACCCCACAUAAAAUACUCUAUUAGAAAUUAAAAGAUAGAGUCAUUAAAAUUCAAAAUCAAAGCUCCCCUUUUAAUAUUUGUUUUUCACAACAUUUUCAACUUUAUAAUUAUUUUCAAGUAAUUUGACCCAAUGUGGCCCUAGAAUACAAGUAGGCUAGUAUUAAACAAUGACGUGAAAAUUGUAAGAAAGGUCUAUUAUAUCUGUACACAGAGAAGAAAGAGGAAAGUAUUCCUUCUACUUUAUAAUCUGUAUCUUCUCUGCAAAAUACUCUGUGAAUGUAGGCUUUAUUUCGAGAACAUUGAUUAUCGGUCAAUUUUUACAAUGUAGAAUCUACUUUACAAGAAGUGUUGUUACCAGACAUGCUAUGCUCAUCAGCGCCACCAUCCAGUUCUGUGUUGGCAAGUGGUAGCACUGCUUCUUAUUAGAAGGCAGUGACGAUGACGAAGGCACAUGCAGUCGCCAUUUUGUUUUAGACUUUCGGUUUCGGACUUUCUUUCUUCAUACGUGUUUACAUACACUGAGUAUGCUAGUUUUGCCACUGUAAUUUUAAUAAAAUAACACUUAUGGGGGUUGCUCCGCACCAAAUUGUUGUUACAAUGAUGCCAAAGGCUUUCGCACGUUUCGUUUUCCGUUUGAUAGUUCUAGAAGAGAUUUUAGUACAACAUUUUAGACGUACCAAUAGUGGAAACGAACUUCCAACUUCUAAGACUAUGUGAUGUUAUGAAAACUAGUGGAAAUGUUGAAUCUUCAAAUAUUAGUGGAACCUGUGAAACUGGCAAAUCUGAUGUAGAGGAUGGAGUUGCAUAUCUUCAUGAGUUGAUAUUUUCAAUUUCUAUCAUGGUAUGUCGCUGGCUACCGCUGGCCUUGAUUGGGCACGCAGUGUGGACGCAGCCAUGGACCAACGCAGCCA
Long non-coding RNA from Nilaparvata lugens (brown planthopper), 1043 nucleotides. RefSeq lists it as uncharacterized. The transcript has 3 exons. Lineage: Eukaryota; Metazoa; Arthropoda; Insecta; Hemiptera; Delphacidae. The record is from RefSeq and is a predicted model, not a curated record.